Molecule: long non-coding RNA, 512 nt
Organism: Homo sapiens (human)
Lineage: Eukaryota; Metazoa; Chordata; Mammalia; Primates; Hominidae
Exons: 2
Source: RefSeq, a predicted model, not a curated record
AGCACCAGCCCAGUGGACCAGCAGAGGGAGGAAGGGACUCUUUCUGUCCUUCUCGAAAGAAUUUCCAAUGGUAUGAAAACAUUCCCGGAUCCCCUCUGUGUGGUUGUCUCUUCAACUGGGUCUCUCACUAGAGGACCAUGCCGCUCCUGCUUUGCUCCCUUACAUCUGAGUCUGAACAAAGAAAAAUUCUCAAGGAAGGGGUUGUUAGUGAGUGUUUGACUUGGUGGGAAAGACUGACAUGUGGGCCGUGGGCCCCUCCUGUAGAUGGGGCCCACUCUAAGAACAAAGUAUGGGGCUCUUGCUCACCCCCCUUUCCCAGUAGACUUGUCAGUAGAAGAGGUUUGCAAGCCAUGGAAAGAAGUAAACAUCCCUUCAGCCUCAACUGGGCUUCUCAACUGUUCCUCUGGUAUUUCUUUCCCCAGUGGACCCACCCAUUCCCCAUAAGGUACAAAUAUUCAGUAUUUGUUUGUAUUUGUUGAAUUAAUAAAGAUGUAGUUUCUUAAGUGAUACUA